This 602-nucleotide long non-coding RNA is filed under the name Malus domestica (apple). Its description in RNAcentral is "long non-coding RNA (MDOM_LNC014472)". The record is from RNAcentral. Lineage: Eukaryota; Viridiplantae; Streptophyta; Magnoliopsida; Rosales; Rosaceae.
UUUACCGCACCAGACAAAAAUAUGAAUCGAAACGGAUAAACGACAAACGAGGUAACACAGCAGUCAGGUUUACGCGACUCCUCGUCUUCACACAAUCACUCGCUGACUAGCUCCGAAAUCCAUCCAACAUCUGGAGCCGACGAUCCAGAGUCAACACGGGCGACUCGGCCAAAAGAGUUCUCCUUACUCAGCCUCGCGUACAUUCUUGCCCGGAGAUCCCUCCCGGACUCCACCCUCUCCAUUGCUGGCUCCUCCCCGCAACGCUGAUCCCAGAGAUCAACCGGGUUCGGUCCGACCCGACCCGUUGUACGAGUCGGGGUCAAUGGAAGGCUGCAAAAACCGGAUCGGAAGGCGGACCCUCUUGGAGACGGACCGAACCCGGAUCCCAUUUGGGCUCCCCAUGAAGGCGGAGAGUUCAUUUUCAUCUUAGCAAGCUUGAAGUUUCGCAUCGACGCAACGAGUUCACUCACCGAGUUACGGCCAUGUUGAGGACUGUUUGGCGACAUUGGCGGCGAUUCAGACGGCGGAGAUAAUGGAGGGGACAUCAGGAUCGAGGCGGGGGGCGAACCAAAUGGAUACGAGUCGAAAGCUCCCGACCCUUG